This is a long non-coding RNA of Colossoma macropomum (tambaqui), 1652 nucleotides long. RefSeq lists it as uncharacterized. Lineage: Eukaryota; Metazoa; Chordata; Actinopteri; Characiformes; Serrasalmidae. The record is from RefSeq and is a predicted model, not a curated record. The transcript is spliced from 4 exons.
UGGAGCCACUGUGCUAUCUGCUAAUCACGGGAUGGUCUGUCUAAUCAUUGACUUUGCAUGGUAGACGACCCUGAGGCCUAUAAGAACUCACUCCAAACAAACAGAGCCUGUCUUUUCUCUUCAGUUCUUUGGUACAGCAAACAGGAGCAUAAGAAAUCAGCCCAACAAGCAUGGCUUUCCCAGAUGACGCACUUGUGGAAGAAUGACGUUGGAAUCAUCUGUGUUUUCACUAUCUGUGGCCUGUAGCCCAUGUCAAUAGUGCUGGAGAGAGGGAGUGGGACAAUGGGACUGAGCUGGUGCAAGACGUCCAGCCCGUGCUCUCAGGCCGGGCCGUUUGCUGACCGCUGCUGUGAUGUCUGCUGCCAGCUAUGUCUGGACGGCUUCUGUGGAGCGUGUGCCCGUGACUGCCGCUACACCUUCUGGUACAUGUGCACAAGGCUGGCUAACUACUGCCUGGCCUUCACCAGCUCGGAACAGCCUCAGAGAGCCCGCUGCACAGAAAAUGCUUUUCUGAAUGGAGGACAGGUGGUUUAGAUGGCUGAGGACAUGACGAGCUGAAAGCUUCGGUAUUUCUGGGAGCUGUCGGACCAGAUGGAUGAGCAUCUCUCACCUCCCUCAGUUGCCACUGGUUGCAGCACUGUGUGACCGCAUUGGGUUUAUUUAUGAACAUCUGACAGUGUAUGAAGAUCUAGAAUCUUCUCACAUUCCAGAGUUGAAGAGACUCAUGUCUUUUGUAAAUAAAAUACACACAGUAAUAUAUCACUGACUUAUAUUGUACGCUGUACAUUCUGUAGACUCAUUCUGGCAAUGAAUUACACUUAUGCUUUGGAAAUAAUUCCUCCACCUAGCAUUUGUGAAAUUCCUUUGGAUGACCUACAAAUGAUGAAAGCGUUUGCGCACUCAGGCAAGAAAAGGAAGUAGUACACAGGCUUCUUUGACAUGCAAGGACCUCAGAAAUGUGCCUGUUUGAAGGGGACGGGCUGGAAAAACCUGAAUGCACACCCACGGGAAUGCACCAACCCACAGCCGAAGAUGAAAUUAGACAAGUUUUUUGGUUCUGUUUUGUGAGUGAAAGAGGGCCACUGCCCUGAAGACUGGCUCUGUCAACAGCGAAGACAACACGAAGACAGCUCCAUCUCAAUUCAAGACAUUGAAAAAGGAGUAUAUAUCUUUUUGUGGCUUAUUUGGAGCACAUUUUGAAGGGUGAAAAAGAAGACAGCACAGAACCGUGUGAGGCCGGAGCUGGGACGCUGGCCAUGGAGGAGGAUUAUAUGAAGCAGGGCUACCCCGAUGUCGUUAGGCAGCAGCACACGAGCAACGUGGCCGCGAGCCAGUCUGCUGAUAAGAAGCGCUCAGAUUCCGGGCCCAACUGCUGCAUGCAGUGCUGCAUGAAGACCAAGAACUGCCUGAUGAGCCCAGAGUGUGGUCGCGCUCUCAGCAUCGCCAAUGUAAUCGCCAUGUGUGGCAUGUGCAUCCGCAUGUGGACAUAGAUUUCUGCUCAUUGAUGAAUCCAGACAGUCUUCUGGCGGCUGCCGCCCAGAACUUAGAACAAACGGAGACAUCACGGUUAUGGAAUUUUCCUGGCUAUACCAGCUCAGUAACAUACCCUUAGACUAAGCCCCACCCUUAUCAUAACUAGCAUCCAAAAAAAA